This 441-nucleotide ribosomal RNA is filed under the name uncultured bacterium. Its description in RNAcentral is "partial 16S ribosomal RNA". It matches the Rfam family "Bacterial small subunit ribosomal RNA", at positions 338 to 795 of the family's 1533-position model. The record is from RNAcentral.
CCUAGGGGUGGCAGCAGUGGGGGAUAUUGCACAAUGGGGGAAACCCUGAUGCAGCGACGCCGCGUGUGUGAAGAAGUAUUUCGGUAUGUAAAGCCCUAUCAGCAGGGAAGAAAGAAGACGGUACCUGACUAAGAAGCCCCGGCUAACUACGUGCCAGCAGCCGCGGUAAUACGUAGGGGGCGAGCGUUAUCCGGAUGCACUGGGUGUAAAGGGAGCGUAGACGGCCGUGCAAGCCAGGAGUGAAAGCCCGGGGCCCAACCCCGGGACUGCUCUUGGAACUGUGCGGCUGGAGUGCGGGAGGGGCAGGCGGAAUUCCUGGUGUAGCGGUGAAAUGCGUAGAUAUCAGGAGGAACACCGGCGGCGAAGGCGGCCUGCUGGACCGCGACUGACGUUGAGGCUCGAAAGCGUGGGGAGCGAACAGGAUUAGAUACCCGUGUAGUC